AGCAGCCGCGGUAAUUCCAGCUCCAAUAGCGUAUAUUAAAGUUGUUGCAGUUAAAAAGCUCGUAGUUGAAUUUCGGGGUUAGUAGGCUGGUCGUGCUUCGGUACGUACUUGCAUUAUUGGUUUCUCCCUUCUGACGAACCAUGAUGUCAUUAAUUUGAUGUCAUGGGGAAUCAGGACUGUUACUUUGAAAAAAUUAGAGUGUUUAAAGCAGGCUCGCGCUUGAAUACAUUAGCAUGGAAUAAUGAAAUAGGACGUUUGAUUCUAUUUUGUUGGUUUCUAGGAUCGACGUAAUGAUUAAUAGGGAUAGUUGGGGGCAUUAGUAUUCAAUUGUCAGAGGUGAAAUUCUUGGAUUUAUUGAAGACUAACUACUGCGAAAGCAUUUGCCAAGGAUGUUUUCAUUAAUCAAGAACGAAAGUUAGGGGAUCGAAGACGAUCAGAUACCGUCGUAGUCUUAACCAUAAACUAUGCCGACUAGGGAUCGGAUGAUGUUAAUUUUUAAUGACUCAUUCGGCGCCUUAC
Molecule: ribosomal RNA, 519 nt
Filed under: uncultured Glomus
Lineage: Eukaryota; Fungi; Glomeromycota; Glomeromycetes; Glomerales; Glomeraceae
Description: SSU rRNA
Rfam family: Eukaryotic small subunit ribosomal RNA
Source: RNAcentral